UCGAUAUCUCUUAGAGUCCGCAUAAACAGGGCCUAAGGUGAUAUUGUUCUGUCCGAUAUCUCCAUGCCAUGUCGCUGUUAUGUGUUUGUAUGUGUUCUGUUUGUGGUUUUGGGCCAAAGACGAACAACAUCCAAGAGACCAACAGCAGAAGGAGAAAUACAACAAGAAAAUAAAUGGAAAACAGCAAGACGGAAUCAACAACAUUAAGCUAAGUGCUUUUCUUACAUAUUCAUUUUUUAUAUUUCAUGAUUUCUUACAACUGUUUAUCUGUAAACCUAAACAUUACAUUGUUGGUGUUUAGUUUGCUGUACGAUUAUUCUAUCAUCUUAUUAAUGAUUUUCUCUCCUUUUUUCUUUUUUUGUUGUUUGUGCAUAAAUCUGACACCUGAUGAACACCAUAGAAAGAAGGAUAGCAGCAACCCCAAAGACCAAA
Molecule: long non-coding RNA, 432 nt
Organism: Larimichthys crocea (large yellow croaker)
Lineage: Eukaryota; Metazoa; Chordata; Actinopteri; Sciaenidae
Exons: 2
Source: RefSeq, a predicted model, not a curated record